RNAcentral lists this ribosomal RNA (497 nucleotides) under uncultured bacterium. Its description in RNAcentral is "partial 16S ribosomal RNA". It matches the Rfam family "Bacterial small subunit ribosomal RNA", at positions 28 to 507 of the family's 1533-position model. The record is from RNAcentral.
GAUGAACGCUGGCGGCGUGCCUAAUACAUGCAAGUCGAGCGAACGGACGAGAAGCUUGCUUCUCUGAUGUUAGCGGCGGACGGGUGAGUAACACGUGGAUAACCUACCUAUAAGACUGGGAUAACUUCGGGAAACAGGAGCUAAUACCGGAUAAUAUUUUGAACCGCAUGGUUCAAAAGUGAAAGACGGUCUUGCUGUCACUUAUAGAUGGAUCCGCGCUGCAUUAGCUAGUUGGUAAGGUAACGGCUUACCAAGGCAACGAUGCAUAGCCGACCUGAGAGGGUGAUCGGCCACACGUGAACUUAGACACCGUCCAGACUCCUACGGGAGGCAGCAGUAGGGAAUCUUCCGCAAAGGGCGAAAGCCUUACGGAGCACCGCCGCGUGAGUGAUGGAGGGCUUCGGAUCGUAAAACUCUGUUAUUAGGGAAGAACAUAUGUGUAAUUAACUGUGCACAUCUUGACGGUACCUAAUCAGAAAGCCACGGCUAACUACGUG